RNAcentral lists this ribosomal RNA (293 nucleotides) under uncultured bacterium. Its description in RNAcentral is "partial 16S ribosomal RNA". It matches the Rfam family "Archaeal small subunit ribosomal RNA", at positions 455 to 747 of the family's 1478-position model. The record is from RNAcentral.
GUGCCAGCCGCCGCGGUAAUACCGGCAGCCCGAGUGAUGGCCGAUCUUAUUGGGCCUAAAGCGUCCGUAGCUGGCUGCGCAAGUCCGUCGGGAAAUCCGCCCGCUCAACGGACGGCCGUCCGGCGGAACCUGUGUGGCUUGGGACCGGGAGGCCUGAGGGGUACGAUCGGGGUAGGAGUGAAAUCCUGUAAUCCCGCUCGGACCGCCGAUGGGGAAACCACCUCAGGAGAACGGAUCCGACAGUGAGGGACGAAAGCCAGGGUCUCGAACCGGAUUAGAAACCCGGGUAGUCC